CCUACGGGAGGCAGCAGUGAGGAAUAUUGGUCAAUGGUCGGGAGACUGAACCAGCCAAGCCGCGUGAGGGAUGAAGGUACAGAGUAUCGUAAACCUCUUUUGUCAGGGAACAAAGGCGGGGACGUGUCCCCGGAUGAGUGUACCUGAAGAAAAAGCGUCGGCUAACUCCGUGCCAGCAGCCGCGGUAAUACGGAGGAUGCGAGCGUUAUCCGGAUUUAUUGGGUUUAAAGGGUGCGCAGGCGGUCUGUUAAGUCAGCGGUCAAAGCCCGGGGCUCAACCCCGGCCCGCCGUUGAAACUGGCAGUCUAGAGUUGGAGAGAGGUAUGCGGAAUGCGCGGUGUAGCGGUGAAAUGCGUAGAUAUCGCGCAGAACUCCGAUGGCGAAGGCAGCAUGCCGGCUCCACACUGACGCUGAGGUACGAAAGCGUGGGUAUCGAACAGGAUUAGAUACCCCGGUAGUC
RNAcentral lists this ribosomal RNA (459 nucleotides) under uncultured bacterium. RNAcentral describes it as "partial 16S ribosomal RNA". It matches the Rfam family "Bacterial small subunit ribosomal RNA", at positions 338 to 795 of the family's 1533-position model. The record is from RNAcentral.